This 205-nucleotide long non-coding RNA is filed under the name Homo sapiens (human). RNAcentral's name for it is "HSALNT0338435". Lineage: Eukaryota; Metazoa; Chordata; Mammalia; Primates; Hominidae. The record is from RNAcentral.
CACUUUAACGCUAAAGGGAAUUGUAGUGAAGCAUGGAUGUUUUCCCAUUAAGAGUGAGAACUGCUUGCAUUGACUUCCCGGAAUGUGUAGUACCAGACCCUCAACCUUAAAAGAAGUUCCAUUCUUCUCCACUUCUCUCUUCUCCCCAGGACCCAUGACUUUACACUUCAAUAUUUCUGCAGGGCUCACAGUUCACUGAGAGGCU